This 700-nucleotide ribosomal RNA is filed under the name uncultured bacterium. RNAcentral describes it as "bacterial SSU rRNA". It matches the Rfam family "Bacterial small subunit ribosomal RNA", at positions 42 to 776 of the family's 1533-position model. The record is from RNAcentral.
UCAGGCCUAACACAUGCAAGUCGUACGAGAGUUUUUAACUCUAGUGGCGGACGGGUGAGUAACACGUGAGAAUUUGCCUUUAGGAGGGGGAUAACAAUCGGAAACGAAUGCUAAUACCCCAUAUGCUUUCGAGUGAAAUGGAUUUAUAUUUAUCCGCCUAGAGAGAAGCUCGCGGCUGAUUAGCUUGUUGGUAAGGUAAAAGCUUACCAAGGCGACGAUCAGUAUCUGGUUUGAGAGGACGAUCAGACACACUGGAACUGAGACACGGUCCAGACUCCUACGGGAGGCAGCAGUGGGGAAUUUUCCGCAAUGGGCGAAAGCCUGACGGAGCAAUACCGCGUGAGGGAAGACUGCCUAUGGGUUGUAAACCUCUUUUUUCAGGGAGGAAUCAAUGACGUGUACCUGAAGAAUAAGCAUCGGCUAACUCCGUGCCAGCAGCCGCGGUAAGACGGAGGAUGCAAGUGUUAUCCGGAAUCACUGGGCGUAAAGCGUCUGUAGGUGGUUUAAUAAGUCAACUGUUAAAUCUUGAGGCUCAACUUCAAAAUCGCAGUCGAAACUAUUAGACUAGAGUAUAGUAGAGGUAAAGGGAAUUUCCAGUGGAGCGGUGAAAUGCGUAGAUAUUGGAAAGAACACCGAUGGCGAAAGCACUUUACUGGGCUAUUACUAACACUCAGAGACGAAAGCUAGGGUAGCAAAUGGG